RNAcentral lists this ribosomal RNA (494 nucleotides) under uncultured bacterium. RNAcentral describes it as "partial 16S ribosomal RNA". It matches the Rfam family "Bacterial small subunit ribosomal RNA", at positions 28 to 507 of the family's 1533-position model. The record is from RNAcentral.
GACGAACGCUGGCGGCGUGCUUAACACAUGCAAGUCGAACGGAAAGGCCUGCUUUCCCUUGUGGAUUGCGGGUACUCGAGUGGCGAACGGGUGAGUAACACGUGAGUGAUCUGCCCCCAACUUGGGUAUAAGCCUGGGAAACUGGGUCUAAUUCCCGAUAGGACUGCAGGGUGGUGCCUGUGGUGGAAAACGAUUUUCUAGUGGUUGGGGAUGAGCUCGCGGCCUAUCAGCUUGUUGGUGGGGUAAUGGCCUACCAAGGCGGCGACGGGUAGCCGGCCUGAGAGGGUGGACGGCCACAUUGGGAAUGAGAUACGGCCCAGACUCCUACGGGAGGCAGCAGUGGGGAAUAUUGCACAAUGGGCGGAAGCCUGAUGCAGCGACGCCGCGUGGGGGAUGACGGCCUUCGGGUUGUAAACUCCUUUCGACCGCGAGGAAGCCACCUGGUUGGAAGGGUGGUGACGGUAGUGGUAGAAGAAGCACCGGCUAACUACGUG